Molecule: ribosomal RNA, 409 nt
Filed under: Erwinia sp. AE_81
Lineage: Bacteria; Pseudomonadati; Pseudomonadota; Gammaproteobacteria; Enterobacterales; Erwiniaceae
Description: bacterial SSU rRNA
Rfam family: Bacterial small subunit ribosomal RNA
Source: RNAcentral
UCCUGGCUCAGAUUGAACGCUGGCGGCAGGCCUAACACAUGCAAGUCGAACGGUAGCACAGAGAGCUUGCUCUCGGGUGACGAGUGGCGGACGGGUGAGUAAUGUCUGGGAAACUGCCCGAUGGAGGGGGAUAACUACUGGAAACGGUAGCUAAUACCGCAUAACGUCUUCGGACCAAAGUGGGGGACCUUCGGGCCUCACACCAUCGGAUGUGCCCAGAUGGGAUUAGCUAGUAGGUGGGGUAAUGGCUCACCUAGGCGACGAUCCCUAGCUGGUCUGAGAGGAUGACCAGCCACACUGGAACUGAGACACGGUCCAGACUCCUACGGGAGGCAGCAGUGGGGAAUAUUGCACAAUGGGCGCAAGCCUGAUGCAGCCAUGCCGCGUGUAUGAAGAAGGCCUUCGGGUU